GACGAACGCUGGCGGUAUGCUUAACACAUGCAAGUCGAACGAGAAGUUUUUUAUUGAACCUUCGGGGGAUAUAAGAGACAGACAGUGGCGAACGGGUGAGUAACGCGUGGGCAACCUACCUAUCGGAGCGGGAUAGCCUCGAGAAAUCGGGAGUAAAACCGCAUAACACGGAUAUAUCGCAUGAUGAAUCCGUCAAAACUCCGGUGCCGAUAGAUGGGCCCGCGUCUGAUUAGCUAGUUGGUAAGGUAAGGGCUUACCAAGGCAACGAUCAGUAGCCGGUCUGAGAGGGCGAACGGCCACACUGGAACUGAGACACGGUCCAGACUCCUACGGGAGGCAGCAGUGGGGAAUAUUGCGCAAUGGGGGCAACCCUGACGCAGCAAUACCACGUGAGUGAAGAAGGUUUUCGGAUCGUAAAGCUCUGUUAUUGGGGAAGAAGCAGGACGGU
RNAcentral lists this ribosomal RNA (448 nucleotides) under Pseudoramibacter alactolyticus. RNAcentral's name for it is "bacterial SSU rRNA". It matches the Rfam family "Bacterial small subunit ribosomal RNA", at positions 28 to 476 of the family's 1533-position model. The record is from RNAcentral. Lineage: Bacteria; Bacillati; Bacillota; Clostridia; Eubacteriales; Eubacteriaceae.